UACGAGUUGUGCAAACGUUAUUCGGAAUCACUGGGCUUAAAGGGUGCGUAGGCGGCUACGAUAGUCAGGUGUGAAAUCCCUCGGCUCAACCGAGGAACUGCAUUUGAAACUGCGUAGCUUGAGGAAGACAGAGGUGAGCGGAACUGAUGGUGGAGCGGUGAAAUGCGUUGAUAUCAUCAGGAACACCGGUGGCGAAGGCGGCUCACUGGGUCUUAUCUGACGCUGAGGCACGAAAGCCAGGGGAGCAAACGGG
Molecule: ribosomal RNA, 253 nt
Filed under: uncultured bacterium
Lineage: Bacteria
Description: partial 16S ribosomal RNA
Rfam family: Bacterial small subunit ribosomal RNA
Source: RNAcentral